CAUGCAGGCGGUUAGACAAGUCAGGUGUGAAAUCCCCGCGCUUAACGUGGGCAUUGCAUCUGAAACUGUUUAGCUAGAGUUCUGUAGAGGGGGGUAGAAUUCCAGGUGUAGUGGUGAAAUACUUAGAGAUGUCAUAGAACACCGAUUGCGAAGGCAGCUCACAAAACUGUAACUGACACUGAGGCUCGAAAGUAUGGGGAUCAAACAGGAUUAGAUACCCUAGUA
This 225-nucleotide ribosomal RNA is filed under the name uncultured Thorsellia sp. RNAcentral's name for it is "partial 16S ribosomal RNA". It matches the Rfam family "Bacterial small subunit ribosomal RNA", at positions 568 to 792 of the family's 1533-position model. Lineage: Bacteria; Pseudomonadati; Pseudomonadota; Gammaproteobacteria; Enterobacterales; Thorselliaceae. The record is from RNAcentral.